Molecule: ribosomal RNA, 388 nt
Filed under: unidentified bacterium sp. sbr-gs3
Lineage: Bacteria
Description: bacterial SSU rRNA
Rfam family: Bacterial small subunit ribosomal RNA
Source: RNAcentral
AUUGAACGCUGGCGGCAUGCCUAACACAUGCAAGUCGAACGGAGGGCUUCGGCCCUCAGUGGCGGACGGGUGAGUAACGCGUAGGGAUCUGCCCUGCAGUGGGGGACAACCUGGGGAAACUCAGGCUAAUACCGCAUACGCUCCAUGGAGGAAAGCGGGGGACCUUCGGGCCUCGCGCUGCGGGAUGAACCUACGUCCGAUUAGCUAGUUGGUGGGGUAACGGCCCACCAAGGCGACGAUCGGUAGCUGGUCUGAGAGGACGGCCAGCCACACUGGGACUGAGACACGGCCCAGACUCCUACGGGAGGCAGCAGUGGGGAAUAUUGGACAAUGGGCGCAAGCCUGAUCCAGCAAUGCCGCGUGGGUGAAGACGGCCUGCGGGUUGUAA